UCAAAUCAGGUAGGAUUACCCGCUGAACUUAAGC
Molecule: ribosomal RNA, 34 nt
Filed under: Neolentinus lepideus
Lineage: Eukaryota; Fungi; Basidiomycota; Agaricomycetes; Gloeophyllales; Gloeophyllaceae
Description: partial 28S ribosomal RNA
Source: RNAcentral